GACACUUCCAGUGCCACAUUGGGACUGCUGAGAUCUCCAACCUCGUGCAACUAUCAGAAUCUUGGCCUUUCCAGGAUGAGCUAGUCAUUGUUGUUGGAUACCCACUUAGACUGCAUCCUCAAAGUCUGGAUCACAGCGACACGUGAAUAGAGACCCCUAAGGGGAAUUUCUGAGGCUACAGAACCAACUGCUUUGGGCUUCAUUUUGCACUGACAGAGGCCUGUUUUAUCUGCAAUGUUCCAAUCCUUGGAUGAAAAAGUAGUUCGACUGAGCUGAACUGAAUACUGCCUUCCUAGCUGAACUGAAUACUGCCUUCCUGGCGUUUAAAACCGGAAGAGAUGACAGAGGAACUGAAACAGCUUCGGUCUGUGCUCUUGCAGCGUCGGCCCCAUUAUAGCUCCUGUUCCAGGUGCAUUCCUGCUUCUACAGGAAAAUUAUAGAGAAAAAAAGCUUGGUCCAAACUUGUCUGGCAAAGCAGCUAAAAAUGACUGGGACUUGUGACAAACAUGGUUUCUCUGUAUAGUCCUGGCUGUCCUGAAAUUCAUACUGUAAAUCAAACCAGUCUUGAAUAUAGAGAGAUCUGCCUGCCUCUGCCUCCCAAGUGCUGGGACUGAAGGUAUGUACCACCCCUCAGCUCGUUUAUUUUCAUUCUAAAAUUAUUUUAGUACAGCCCAUGGUAACAUUAAUUUUUUCUAAAUAUACAAUCUACUGAAAGAGUCUUUUUUCCUAACAAACUCUAGAUGGUGAGCUAUUUAUUUCAAUCUUUCAUUAACACAUAUUCAAAUUUAUUUUUAAAAACAACUGAAUGGUUUUAAACGAGUGAGUAAACUCAAACACAAUCCAUCACUUAAAUACCCUAUACCAACACCAUCUCAUGUGCAGCAUGAGUCUGGUCAAGAGUGUAAUGACUGGAUCAAAAACUCUCUAUACCAUUUUUUGUGCAAUAUUCUCACUUCUUAUUUGCUUGAUUAAAGUGAAACCAUUUAUGUCACAGUGACACA
Long non-coding RNA from Arvicola amphibius (Eurasian water vole), 1001 nucleotides. RefSeq lists it as uncharacterized. The transcript is spliced from 5 exons. The record is from RefSeq and is a predicted model, not a curated record. NCBI's taxonomy places the organism in Eukaryota, Metazoa, Chordata, Mammalia, Rodentia, Cricetidae.